RNAcentral lists this ribosomal RNA (253 nucleotides) under uncultured bacterium. RNAcentral's name for it is "partial 16S ribosomal RNA". It matches the Rfam family "Bacterial small subunit ribosomal RNA", at positions 524 to 776 of the family's 1533-position model. The record is from RNAcentral.
UACGUAGGGUGCAAGCGUUAAUCGGAAUUACUGGGCGUAAAGCGUGCGCAGGCGGUUUCGUAAGUCUGUCGUGAAAUCCCCGGGCUUAACCUGGGAAUGGCGAUGGAGACUGCGAGGCUAGAGUUUGGCAGAGGGGGGUAGAAUUCCACGUGUAGCAGUGAAAUGCGUAGAGAUGUGGAGGAACACCGAUGGCGAAGGCAGCCUCCUGGGUCAAAACUGACGCUCAUGCACGAAAGCGUGGGGAGCAAACAGG